RNAcentral lists this unclassified non-coding RNA (611 nucleotides) under Hevea brasiliensis (rubber tree). The record is from RNAcentral. Lineage: Eukaryota; Viridiplantae; Streptophyta; Magnoliopsida; Malpighiales; Euphorbiaceae.
GAGACGGUUAAGGAGGAUGAAGAUACACCAUUAAAAGAAAAUCCUUGUAAUGAACGUUGCCAGGAGGGGGGGUUCUUCAUUUCUCAGAUUGUUUCAGAAGCUCCUGUGGUAAAUCAUUGUUUAAGCAAAUCGACUGAUACGUUAUCUGGACCAGCAUCUGUAAUUACAAGUUCUGACUGCUCGGAGAAGUUGGGUUCUGCAGAACAAUUCAUAAAUGGUGAACGCAAAACUGAAAACAGGAAUUGUUUAGAACAUGAGUUAUCUGGUUGUAGAGAUUUUUCUAGCUGUACAUUAGGCGCUGAAAGUAAAAAACAAGUGAAACUCAACCUGUCAAAUGAUGCAACGAUUACAACGAAUAAGAGGACUGCAAUUUGCAGUUCAGAGUUUCCUGAUCCUUGGGAUAGGAAGCACUCAAUGCUUGUUGCUUCGGACAAUACUGUAAAGUUAUCUCUUUCUACGGACCCUGAUCCUUUCGGGUCUUUUCCGGUGAUCCGGGAUGAUGUACAGUUAGCUAACAAAGAUGAUGACGAAAAAUCUUGGGGGUGCACUCAACCUAGCACUAGAAAUAAGGCCUUCAGGCCAGCACCGCGAGUAGGAGAUUGGAGGAUGCG